AGUGAACGCUGGCGGUAGGCCUAACACAUGCAAGUCGAACGGCAGCACAGUAAGAGCUUGCUCUUACGGGUGGCGAGUGGCGGACGGGUGAGGAAUACAUCGGAAUCUACUUUUUCGUGGGGGAUAACGUAGGGAAACUUACGCUAAUACCGCAUACGACCUACGGGUGAAAGCAGGGGAUCUUCGGACCUUGCGCGAUUGAAUGAGCCGAUGUCGGAUUAGCUAGUUGGCGGGGUAAAGGCCCACCAAGGCGACGAUCCGUAGCCGGUCCGAGAGGAUGAUCAGCCACACUGGAACUGAGACACGGUCCAGACUCCUACGGGAGGCAGCAGUGGGGAAUAUUGGACAAUGGGCGGAAGCCUGAUCCAGCCAUACCGCGUGGGUGAAGAAGGCCUUCGGGUUGUAAAGCCCUUUUGUUGGGAAAGAAAAGCAGCAGGUUAAUACCCCGCUGUUCUGACGGUACCCAAAGAAUAAGCACCGGCUAACUUCGUG
This 492-nucleotide ribosomal RNA is filed under the name uncultured bacterium. RNAcentral's name for it is "partial 16S ribosomal RNA". It matches the Rfam family "Bacterial small subunit ribosomal RNA", at positions 29 to 507 of the family's 1533-position model. The record is from RNAcentral.